Molecule: ribosomal RNA, 231 nt
Filed under: uncultured bacterium
Lineage: Bacteria
Description: partial 16S ribosomal RNA
Rfam family: Bacterial small subunit ribosomal RNA
Source: RNAcentral
CCUAGCCUUGGAGUGGGGAAUAACAGCUGGAAACAGCUGCUAAUACCGCAUGAAGCAGUUGAGUCGCAUGGCUCUGACUGCCAAAGAUUUAUCGCUCUGAGAUGGACUCGCGUCUGAUUAGCUAGUUGGCGGGGCAAUGGCCCACCAAGGCGACGAUCAGUAGCCGGACUGAGAGGUUGGCCGGCCACAUUGGGACUGAGACACGGCCCAGACUCCUACGGAAGGCAGCAG